GUUCAAAGCAGGCCACACGCCUUGAAUAAGUUAGCAUGGAAUAAUAAUAAAGGACUUCGGUUCUAUUUUGUUGGUGUUCGGGACUGAAGUAAUGAUUGAUAGGGACAGUUGGGGCGGUCAGUAUUCCAAAGCGAGAGGUGAAAUUCUUAGACCUUCGGAAGACUAACAGCUGCGAAAGCGUUCCGCAAGGAUGUUCCCUUUGAUCAAGAACGAAAGUUGGGGGAUCGAAGACGAUCAGAUACCGUCGUAGUCUCAACUAUAAACUAUACCAGCUAGGGAUCGGCCAACGUUGAUUCAAAAAGACUUGGUCGGCACCUUAUGAGAAAUCAAAGCAUCUGGGUUCCGGGGGGAGUAUGGUCGCAAGGCUGAAACUUAAAGGAAUUGACGGAAGGGCACCACCAGCCGUGGAGCCUGUGGCUUAAUUUGACUCAACACGGGGAAACUUACCAGGUCCAGACAUGAGAAGGAUUGACAGAUUGACAGCUCUUUCUUGAUUUUAUGGGUGGUGGUGCAUGGCCGUUCUUAGUUGGUGGAGUGAUUUGUCUGGUUAAUUCCGUUAACGAACGAGACCCCAGCCUGCUAAAUAGCGCGCGUGGCCUCUGGCCGCGGCGAGCUUCUUAGAGGGACUACGGCUCGCUAUAGACCGGGGAAGUUUGGGGCAAUAACAGGUCUGUGAUGCCCUUAGAUGUUCUGGGCCGCACACGGGCUACACUGACGCGUGCAACGAGCAUACCAGCUGGCCCGACAGGGUGUAGGCUAAUCUUUUGAACUCGCGUCGUGCUAGGGAUCGACGAUUGCAAUUAUUCGUCGUGCAACGAGGAAUGCCUUGUAAACGCGAGUCAUCAACUCGCAUUGAAUACGUCCCUGCCCUUUGUACACACCGCCCGUCGCUCCUACCGAUGAAUGUUCCGAUGAAAUUCUCGGAGGGCGCCUGUGAAGCCGGUUAUGCCGGCGGAACGGGAGGCCCGAAGUCGCUUAAAUCUGAACAUUUCGAGGAAGGAGAAGUCGUAACAAGGUUUCCGUAGGUGAACCUGCGGAAG
RNAcentral lists this ribosomal RNA (1040 nucleotides) under marine metagenome. RNAcentral describes it as "bacterial SSU rRNA". It matches the Rfam family "Eukaryotic small subunit ribosomal RNA", at positions 773 to 1823 of the family's 1831-position model. The record is from RNAcentral.